GUGGGGAAUAUUGCACAAUGGGCGCAAGCCUGAUGCAGCCAUGCCGCGUGUGUGAAGAAGGCCUUCGGGUUGUAAAGCACUUUCAGUCGUGAGGAAGGUAGUGUAGUUAAUAGCUGCAUUAUUUGACGUUAGCGACAGAAGAAGCACCGGCUAACUCCGUGCCAGCAGCCGCGGUAAUACGGAGGGUGCGAGCGUUAAUCGGAAUUACUGGGCGUAAAGCGCAUGCAGGUGGUUUGUUAAGUCAGAUGUGAAAGCCCGGGGCUCAACCUCGGAAUAGCAUUUGAAACUGGCAGACUAGAGUACUGUAGAGGGGGGUAGAAUUUCAGGUGUAGCGGUGAAAUGCGUAGAGAUCUGAAGGAAUACCGGUGGCGAAGGCGGCCCCCUGGACAGAUACUGACACUCAGAUGCGAAAGCGUGGGGAGCAAACAGGAUUAGAAACCCGAGUAGUCC
Molecule: ribosomal RNA, 450 nt
Filed under: uncultured bacterium
Lineage: Bacteria
Description: bacterial SSU rRNA
Rfam family: Bacterial small subunit ribosomal RNA
Source: RNAcentral